Molecule: ribosomal RNA, 514 nt
Filed under: uncultured bacterium
Lineage: Bacteria
Description: bacterial SSU rRNA
Rfam family: Bacterial small subunit ribosomal RNA
Source: RNAcentral
UGGGGAAUUUUCCGCAAUGGGCGAAAGCCUGACGGAGUGACGCCGCGUGGGGGACGAAGGCCUUCGGGUCGUAAACCCCUGUCAGAGGGAAAGAAGCCUUCGGGCGUGAACAGCGCUCGGAGGUGACGGUACUCUCAGAGGAAGCCCCGGCCAACUCUGUGCCAGCAGCCGCGGUAAGACAGAGGGGGCAAGCGUUGCUCGGAAUCACUGGGCGUAAAGGGCGCGUAGGCGGGAUGGCAAGUCGGUCGUGAAAUCCCUCGGCUCAACCGAGGGGGGUCGGCCGAUACUGCCGUUCUUGAGGGAUGCAGAGGAGACUGGAAUUCCCGGUGUAGCGGUGAAAUGUGUAGAGAUCGGGAGGAACACCGGUGGCGAAGGCGGGUCUCUGGGCAUCUCCUGACGCUGAGGCGCGAAAGCGUGGGGAGCAAACGGGAUUAGAUACCCCGGUAGUCCACGCUGUAAACGAUGACGACUAGGUGUGGGGUGGUUCAGUCCAUUCCGUGCCGCAGCUAACGCU